GAUAGCUCAGCGGUAGAGCAACCGGCUGUUAACCGGUGGGUCGUAGGUUCGAAUCCUACUC
RNAcentral lists this transfer RNA (61 nucleotides) under Candidatus Neoanaerotignum tabaqchaliae. It matches the Rfam family "tRNA", at positions 6 to 65 of the family's 71-position model. Rfam says of the family: Transfer RNA (tRNA) molecules are approximately 80 nucleotides in length. Their secondary structure includes four short double-helical elements and three loops (D, anti-codon, and T loops). Lineage: Bacteria; Bacillati; Bacillota; Clostridia. The record is from RNAcentral.